Molecule: ribosomal RNA, 447 nt
Filed under: uncultured bacterium
Lineage: Bacteria
Description: partial 16S ribosomal RNA
Rfam family: Bacterial small subunit ribosomal RNA
Source: RNAcentral
UUCCAGACUCCUACGGGAGGCAGCAGUGGGGAAUAUUGCACAAUGGGGGAAACCCUGAUGCAGCGACGCCGCGUGAGUGAAGAAGUAUUUCGGUAUGUAAAGCUCUAUCAGCAGGGACGAAGAUGACGGUACCUGCAGAAGAAGCCCCGGCUAACUACGUGCCAGCAGCCGCGGUAAUACGUAGGGGGCAAGCGUUAUCCGGAUUUACUGGGUGUAAAGGGAGCGUAGACGGCAGGGCAAGCCAGAAGUGAAAACGCAGAGCUUAACUUUGCGACUGCUUUUGGAACUGCCCAGCUAGAGUACAGGAGAGGUAAGUGGAAUUCCUAGUGUAGCGGUGAAAUGCGUAGAUAUUAGGAGGAACACCGGCGGCGAAGGCGGCCUGCUGGACCGUAACUGGCGUUGAGGCUCGAAAGCGUGGGGAGCAAACAGGAUUAGAUACCCCUGUAA